AUGAUAGUUAUAAGGGGGACCCGUCGCCGACGGCACAUGGUGCGUCGCCGACGGGCUCGGGAAGGUCCCGUCGCUAAACAUUGCCCGUAGACAGACAGUUAGCGCGUCAGGUGGAGGGGUGCCGUCUCCCAAAACCUUCCCUAACAUCCCAUAACGUCCCAACCCAGGUUAUAAUAGUAAUUUAUCCAUAACCCAUUUCCGUUUUCAUCUAAAAGCAUAGCUCGAAAUCCUUAAAUCACUUACUUGUGUGGCGCUUAGAAACGAGCACACUUUCACGAGAGCGUAGGUUUGAGGGAUUCGAGCAUCGUACCUUCAUAUAUUAAAUAAUUUGCUAACCUUACUACCUUGGUGCAGUACUUGAACAUGCAGCAACGAGUCGGUCCUCUUCGUCCCCAUCCAUACCAUGUUUCGUAUUGACCUCAUUCAUCCGUGUGACGAGCUUUCGCUUAUGAACAUUCUUUCACUGACCUAGAUAGGUUUAUCACACUAUGAUAUCUGCCAUACUCAUUAUAAAAUUGGGGAUUAUCAUAUUUCAUUCAAGUUCAUUUAAACAUGAUGUUUAUUACUUCUCCUUGUUUACAUAUUACUACUUCCAAGAUUCUUUUUAAAGCACUAGUGUGUUAAGCUUAUUCAUAACGGGUCAAUACAUGACCAUUUCUUAAUAUAUAUAUAUCAUUCUCAUUGUUUGACCCGUUCUUGACGGGUAAACACAUAAUCAUUAUUUCGU
RNAcentral lists this long non-coding RNA (727 nucleotides) under Helianthus annuus (common sunflower). The record is from RNAcentral. Lineage: Eukaryota; Viridiplantae; Streptophyta; Magnoliopsida; Asterales; Asteraceae.